RNAcentral lists this non-coding RNA (218 nucleotides) under Apaloderma vittatum (bar-tailed trogon). RNAcentral's name for it is "Eukaryotic small subunit ribosomal RNA". It matches the Rfam family "Eukaryotic small subunit ribosomal RNA", at positions 1210 to 1666 of the family's 1831-position model. The record is from Rfam by way of RNAcentral. Lineage: Eukaryota; Metazoa; Chordata; Aves; Trogoniformes; Trogonidae.
AAGCAAAUGAAAUAAGGAUGUAGCAUGAAUGCAAUAUUAUUACAGCUGUACAAACCACUGAGCAAACACAUUGAUUCAUUCUAAAGAAACCACAUUAAUAAAACCUAUAAAAUUUUCAUAAGCAGGGAUUGGAGACUGGACUUCUUCCUUGUGAGUGAGGAAUUCUCAGUAAGUGCAGGUCAUAAUCUUGUCUUGAAUAAGUCCCUGUCCUUUGUACA